RNAcentral lists this long non-coding RNA (3103 nucleotides) under Capsicum annuum. Its description in RNAcentral is "long non-coding RNA (CANN_LNC001032)". The record is from RNAcentral. Lineage: Eukaryota; Viridiplantae; Streptophyta; Magnoliopsida; Solanales; Solanaceae.
UAAACAAAUAUAAGUUAAUUCAACGUUGAUCAAUCCAUGCCGAAUAAACAUUCACACAAAUACAAAGUUAGUAGAAUAAGAAGAAAGUGAAGGAGAAGGACUAGAUGCGGCCAAGUCCUUUGGGAAGGGACCGAUUUCUAAUAACGUAGACUCUGAUGGCGGACAGUCCUACAGCGGUUGACCCGACGCUUGGGUCAAAACGAGUUCCGAUGCGGAACUCCAACUCCCCGAUCCACAUGAAAAAAAAUAAAAGAUAGAUUAGCAAUAUACUUAAUAAAAUAAACUAAAAUAAUAAAGGCACAAAUAGCUUCUAGUCAAGUGGAACAUACAAGUGGGCUAGUUGCCAUAAUGAGGCAGAAAGGGGCAAAGUAUAGGUUAGGUACUGUUUCAAGCAAAUCAGCUACUGUAGGGGUCGAUUGGUUGGAAAUUGUUAUCCCGGGAUAACUAAUACCGAGAUUAGUUAUCCCAAGAUUACCCGGAAUAACUUAUUCCACCAUGUAUAUGGGAUAAGUUGUCCCAUCACUAAGGGGAAAAUGGUGGAAUAAGUUAUCUCUGGUUGGAUUAAUCCCUCCAACCAAACAAGAGAUUAAGUGUCUUUUAUUUUAUUCCGGGAUAACUCAUCCCUUGAAUUUUUUAUACCUCAAACCAAACGAUCCCUAAGUUAAUAGCUAUGCGAAGUUUCGAUCCCAUAUAUUUUCAAGAAAACUCACGACAUUAGAAUUCUAGUUACAAAAUCCACAGGUAAAUUAAAUUACUACGUCAAUAACAAUGCAUUAUUGAGAACAAACCCAACCAAACGACGUUCUAAAAAAACCUACCAACAAUAUGGAUCAAAAGGGAACAAAAAGGUAAUGAUUUUGUACAUUCAAAAGGUCAUUUACUUGCACUCUAGCUGAAAUCAAUCACAAAUGCCAACUAUUUUACCCUCAUCCAUGGAAACUUAAAAUUCAAAUUUUCAAGACCAACAUAACAGAGACACCGGAUUAUAGAAGAUGGUACCAUGGGAAAAAAGGGACCCUGCAUUAUACACUCAAAUGCAAACGUGAUAGACGGUAGUCAAAAUGAAUUAGCAUCCCGAAAUUGUAGGGUUGGUCGGAUCUUUUCAAAUUAAAAAAAACGAACAUGACAGAGAACUAUUCUUAAAUCGACUUAAAAAAUUCACAUAGAUAGGAGAGUUCAUUCUAAGUUAAAAACAACAUAACCCUGAAUAACAAGGAAUAUAUCGUGUCUUUAGGGUGAUAGGCCCUCCAAUCUUGAAUGGAGACUAAAUGAACCUUGAUAGACCCUCCAAUCUUGAAUGGAGACUAAAUGAACCUCACCGUUUAUAAAUGAAGGAAAACAAUAACUUUGGAUAUUCAUAACAACCCUAUAUUGUUUGAAACAAAGCAAAAGCAGAGAAACAAAGUUUUGCACAUUCCUUCAAACAAACGUGUAUUAAACGGAUGAAAAUUAAACCAGAAUAAUAUCUUAAAUUUAAUUAGCAGGGAACAAACGGAUAUGCCGACAUAAACUUGCAACCAAAAUAAAUCGCAUAUUUAUCAAAAUCAGGCCAAACAAAGGAGAGAAAAAUUUACGAAAAAUUACAGAAACUAGCCUCCAAUAAAUAGCAACACUUUUUUAAAAUUACAACUUAUAGCAAAAGUAGCAAAUUUUUAUGUAUUUUUCAGUUGUGUCUAUGUAUUUAUGAGUAAUACAUAUAUAUUUGUAUAUGUAUUUAUAUAAUAAUAUUUUACUUAAAUAUAAUUUGCUAUUUUUUGUAAUUAUGAAACUGUUGCCGUAAAAGUUAUAAUUAAGGCUGAAAAGUUGCUAUUUAAAAAAUUAUGGGAGGGAAUAAUAGUUUACAUUCAAAACCCGAAAUCAAGAAUGGAGAACAACAGUCCUAAACAGGAUCGACACACAUUCACGCAUAUUUUUGACCCUUUUAAAAAAAUCAAGAUUUAUAUAUACCGCAAUCUCUCAGGAAAAUGACAACAACAAUAUGAACUUCAGAAAAACCCACAUAUCCAUGUUUUCGCAAAACAACCAUAUUCACAAACGCAAUUUAAAGAUGACGACCAACAAUACUAUAACUAAGAUUUCCAUUCACAGUUUUACUAACUUAAACAAAAUACGUGUUUGUUUCCCAAAAACGUCCAAAUGGUCGAUUUACAGAAACUCAGAGUGCAUCGACGAUACCACAAAAAUAGUCUAUGUAUUUAUAAAGCUGAAAUAGACGAGUGAGAAUGAGAUAAACAAAAGAGUAAGGUAGGAGAUUCACACCUUUUUUCGGGCAGCAAACUAAGCCUCAACAUUAAGGAAUUUCCAGCGACGAACUCACUCCCGAGGACACCAAAUUUAAACCCAGUCAGAAAGAAACAGCGACUCUUCCUCUCUUCUUUUUUUUCGACUUUCUCUAACUUAUUUUUCUCCAAUCUCCGACCCUCAGGCUUGUGUUUGCUCUUAUUCUUUCAUUUUCCACCUUUUUUUUUUUGAUACCCAGAUCUCCAGGACUACUUUUUACAAUUUUCAGUCUUUUUCUUGCUCUUCUCUUACUUUCCACUCGUUUUUCCCUUACUUUUCUCUCGAAACCUUUUGCCUCUUUUUCCCGAAUUUCAAGCUUCUUCUUGAGAUGAUCGAAAAAUCCAUAUUUAUAGGUACAAAUCCGGACUUGAAAGUCCGGAUUUGAAACCUUAGAAUAAAAAAUGGGAAGAAGAAAAUAGAAAGAAUUUUUCACAAUCAAAUCUGAAACCUAUUCCAAUCUCAGCUUUUCAGGCUAUUGAUGGGGAUUUUGAAUUUUUUUGCGCCAAAUAGUGUCUGAUUUUUCUGUCACAGUGGAAUCGUCGGAUUUUCGGGAUGGGGGAAAUGGGCCGCGCAGAGGGUGGUUGAAAGUUGUCUGCUAGGGUUUAGGCUUUGGGGGUGGUGGAGGAGAGGGAGGAGGAGAAGAGAGCAGGAGAAAGAGGAAAGAGAGUUAUAUUUUUGACAUUGAUUUGGGUGGAUGACGGUGGUGACUACUCGUUGUUUCUUGAGAAAGGGAAAGCGCGUGCUUCUGCCUUUCUGAUGCAUCAUUCAUUGCACUGGUUGAAGAUUUUGACCAACAUUUGGACAGAUAAAAAAUAAGAAAAUA